This 393-nucleotide ribosomal RNA is filed under the name uncultured bacterium. Its description in RNAcentral is "partial 16S ribosomal RNA". It matches the Rfam family "Bacterial small subunit ribosomal RNA", at positions 338 to 729 of the family's 1533-position model. The record is from RNAcentral.
CCUACGGGUGGCAGCAGUGAGGAAUAUUGGUCAAUGGGCGCGAGCCUGAACCAGCCAAGUAGCGUGAAGGAUGACUGCACUACGGGUUGUAAACUUCUUUUAUAAAGGAAUAAAGUGAGGCACGUGUGCCUUUUUGUAUGUACUUUAUGAAUAAGCAUCGGCUAACUCCGUGCCAGCAGCCGCGGUAAUACGGAGGAUCCGAGCGUUAUCCGGAUUUAUGGGGUUUAAAGGGUGCGUAGAUGGCUUGUUAAGUCAGCGGUAAAAGCUGGGGGCUAAACCCAGAAGAGCCAUUGAUACUGGCGGUCUGGAGUUGAGGUGAGGUACGCGGAAUGCGCGGUGUAGCGGUGAAAUGCUUAGAUAUCGCGAAGAACUCCGAUUGCGAAGGCAGCGUAC